This 986-nucleotide ribosomal RNA is filed under the name uncultured Rhodobacter sp. RNAcentral's name for it is "bacterial SSU rRNA". It matches the Rfam family "Bacterial small subunit ribosomal RNA", at positions 372 to 1353 of the family's 1533-position model. The record is from RNAcentral. Lineage: Bacteria; Pseudomonadati; Pseudomonadota; Alphaproteobacteria; Rhodobacterales.
UGGGGGAAACCUGAAGGGCCAGGCCGCAGAUCCCGGAAGGUCUUAGGGUUGUAAGGCUCUUUCAGCUGGGAAGAUGAUGACCGUACCCACAGCACAAGCCGCGGCUAGAUGGGUGUCUGCAGCUGCGGUAAUACGGAGGGGGUUAUAGUUAGUGGGAAUUCCUGGGCGUAAAGGGCAUGUAGGCUGACUGUGUAUAAGUCAAAGCUGUGAAAGCCCAGGGUGCUCAACCUUGGAACUGUUUCCUAUCGUGGCACACUCCCCAGUCUUGACGGCCUGAGAGGAAGUGGAUGGAUUCCGAUGUGUAGAGGUGAAAUUCUUAGAUAUUCGGAGGAAUACCAAUGGGCGAAGGGCGGCUUUCUGGCUCUACUACUGACGCUGAGGUGCUAAAGCGUGGGGGGCCAUCAAGAUAUAGAUAACCUGGUGGUGAUACGCGCGUAAAUGAUGAAUGAUAGACGCUAUAUCGGGUAGCAUCCGCUAUUCGGUGCACACCUAACGGAUUUUUGGCAUUCCUCCUGGGGGGGACGCCGCCCCGGUUGAAAACUCCAAGGAAUUCAGGAGGGCCCCCACAAACGGUGGACCAUGUGGUUUAAUUAUAAUCAUCGUGCGAGAACAUUACCCACCCUUGACUUGGUAUCGGGUUCUGGGAGACAGAGCUUUCAGUUCCUCUGGAUACCACACACGGGCUCCUGCAUUGCCGUCGUCAUCUCCUGUCAUAAGAUGUUCGUUUAAGUUCGGCAAACGGAAGAUCAACCCACAUUUUUAGUUGCCAUCAUUCAGUGGUGCACUCUAGAUAAACUCCCGGUGAUAACCCAGAGGAAGGUGUGGAAUGACGUCACGACGUCCACAUGGCCCUUACCGCGUUGGGCUACACUACGUGCUACAAUCGCCGGCGCCAAUGGGUUAAUCCCAAAAAGCCAUCUCACGUUCGGAUUGGGGUCUGCAACUGGACCCCAUGAAGUCGGAAUCGCUAGUAAUGGCGUAACAGC